Xanthomonas translucens pv. undulosa is the source of this 117-nucleotide non-coding RNA. The record is from Rfam. Lineage: Bacteria; Pseudomonadati; Pseudomonadota; Gammaproteobacteria; Lysobacterales; Lysobacteraceae.
GGCCUAUGUUGCGCAGGCGGAGCUCGACCGCCCCUUCAAGCGAUGAAGCAGUUCAUCGAUGAGCAUCGUGAUGUCCACGGGGUCGAGCCGAUCUGCACGGUGCUGCCGAUCUCCCCG